This 261-nucleotide transfer RNA is filed under the name Marmota monax (woodchuck). Its description in RNAcentral is "tRNA.Ala". The record is from RNAcentral. Lineage: Eukaryota; Metazoa; Chordata; Mammalia; Rodentia; Sciuridae.
GGGGCUGUAGCUCAGUGGUAGAGCACUUGCCUAGCAUGUCUGAGGCACUGUUCAAACAUCGGAACUGCAUAAAAAUAAUUAAAAGAAGAAUAAAGUUUUUUAAAUGUGAUAAAGAUAUUGUAUCUAUCUACAACUAAAAAAUAUAUAUUAAAAAAAAAAACUUUUAAAAAUGUGAAGCAGCCAGGCACUGUGGCACACACCUAUAAUCCCAGCAGCUCGGGAAGCUGAAGCAGGAGGUUCUCGAGUUCAAAGCCAGCUUCA